CAGCGUUUGCUGCCAAUUGAUGGGGCAAAUGAUCUCUUUUUUCAGCCACCUCCACUGACUCCUACCUCCAAAGUUUAUACUAUCAGACCUUAUUUUCCUAAAGAUGAGAAAAUAAUGUUGAGUUUCCAUGAAGAACAGGAAGUACUGCCAGAAACUUUCCUUGCUAAUUUCCCUUCUCUGAUAAAGAUGGACAUUCACAAAAAAGUAACUGACCCAAGUGUGGCCAAAAGCAUGAUGGCUUGCCUCCUGUCUUCACUGAAGGCUAAUGGCUCCCGGGGAGCUUUCUGUGAAGUCAGACCAGAUGAUAAAAGAAUUCUGGAAUUUUACAGCAAGUUAGGAUGUUUUGAAAUUGCCAAAAUGGAAGGAUUUCCAAAGGAUGUGGUUAUACUUGGUCGGAGCCUGUGACAUUUGUUGACACUGUGAACUGUCCAAAAGUCUCUUAACUGCACCUUGUGAGUGGUAGUUGAGGUCUUCAUACAGUUCAGCCUCUAGAGUGGUAACAAAUCAGCCAAUUGGAUUCGAAACAAAGAAGACUAUGUAAAACUCACCCAUCACACUUUCAGACUACUCACUGGUUGGAAGAAUAUAGUAUUGCAGCAAAUCCUGUAUGAAAGAGAGAUGUGGGCUUCCUUUUUGAGUCGUGUUAGGUGCUGAGACCUUUUACAUGGGCUUAUACAGGGAGAGAGUCUUCAAUAAAUGUAGUCAGCACU
This 710-nucleotide small RNA is filed under the name Pongo abelii (Sumatran orangutan). Its description in RNAcentral is "processed transcript". Lineage: Eukaryota; Metazoa; Chordata; Mammalia; Primates; Hominidae. The record is from RNAcentral.